UACGUAGGCAGCGAGCGUUGUUCGGAAUUACUGGGCGUAAAGAGUGUGUAGGCGGUGCUCCCAGUCUGUUGUGAAAUCUCCCGGCUUAACUGGGAGGGUGCAGCGGAAACUAGAGUGCUAGAGGGUGGGAGAGGUAAGCGGAAUUCCUGGUGUAGCGGUGAAAUGCGUAGAUAUCAGGAGGAACACCUAUGGUGUAGACAGCUUACUGGACCACUUCUGACGCUGAGACACGAAAGCGUGGGUAGCAAACAGG
This 253-nucleotide ribosomal RNA is filed under the name uncultured bacterium. RNAcentral's name for it is "partial 16S ribosomal RNA". It matches the Rfam family "Bacterial small subunit ribosomal RNA", at positions 524 to 776 of the family's 1533-position model. The record is from RNAcentral.